GACGAACGCUGGCGGCGUGCUUAACACAUGCAAGUCGAACGGAAAGGCCCUGCUUUUGUGGGGUGCUCGAGUGGCGAACGGGUGAGUAACACGUGAGUAACCUGCCCUAGACUUUGGGAUAACUUCAGGAAACUGGGGCUAAUACCGGAUAGGAGCUCCUGCUGCAUGGUGGGGGUUGGAAAGUUUCGGCGGUUGGGGAUGGACUCGCGGCUUAUCAGCUUGUUGGUGGGGUAGUGGCUUACCAAGGCUUUGACGGGUAGCCGGCCUGAGAGGGUGACCGGCCACAUUGGGACUGAGAUACGGCCCAGACUCCUACGGGAGGCAGCAGUGGGGAAUAUUGCACAAUGGGCGGAAGCCUGAUGCAGCAACGCCGCGUGCGGAAUGACGGCCUUCGGGUUGUAAACCGCUUUCGCCUGUGACGAAGCGUGAGUGACGGUAAUGGGUAAAGAAGCACCGGCUAACUACGUG
This 468-nucleotide ribosomal RNA is filed under the name uncultured bacterium. RNAcentral's name for it is "partial 16S ribosomal RNA". It matches the Rfam family "Bacterial small subunit ribosomal RNA", at positions 28 to 507 of the family's 1533-position model. The record is from RNAcentral.